UACGUAGGGGGCUAGCGUUGUCCGGAAUCAUUGGGCGUAAAGCGCGUGUAGGCGGUCCGGUAAGUCCGCUGUGAAAGUCAAGGGCUCAACCCUUGAAUGCCGGUUGAUACUGUCGGGCUAGAGUCCGGAAGAGGCGAGUGGAAUUCCCGGUGUAGCGGUGAAAUGCGCAGAUAUCGGGAGGAACACCAAUGGCGAAGGCAGCUCGCUGGGACGGUGCUGACGCUGAGACGCGAAAGCGUGGGGAGCAAACAGG
Molecule: ribosomal RNA, 253 nt
Filed under: uncultured bacterium
Lineage: Bacteria
Description: partial 16S ribosomal RNA
Rfam family: Bacterial small subunit ribosomal RNA
Source: RNAcentral